AUUGAACGCUGGCGGCAUGCUUUACACAUGCAAGUCGAACGGCAGCGCGGGCUUCGGCCUGGCGGCGAGUGGCGAACGGGUGAGUAAUGCAUCGGAACGUGCCCAGUAGUGGGGGAUAGCCCGGCGAAAGCCGGAUUAAUACCGCAUACGACCUGAGGGUGAAAGCGGGGGACCGAAAGGCCUCGCGCUAUUGGAGCGGCCGAUGUCGGAUUAGCUAGUUGGUGGGGAAAAGGCUUACAAAGGCGACGAUCCGUAGCUGGUCUGAGAGGACGACCAGCGACACUGGGACUGAGACACGGCCCAGACUCCUACGGGAGGCAGCAGUGGGGAAUGUUGGACAAUGGGGGCAACACUGAUCCAGCCAUGCCGCGUGCGGGAAGAAGGCCUUCGGGUUGUAAACCGCUUUUGUUCGGGAAGAAAUCCUCUGGGCUAAUACCCCGGGGGGAUGACGGUACCGGAAGAAUAAGCACCGGCUAACUACGUG
This 484-nucleotide ribosomal RNA is filed under the name uncultured bacterium. RNAcentral describes it as "partial 16S ribosomal RNA". It matches the Rfam family "Bacterial small subunit ribosomal RNA", at positions 29 to 507 of the family's 1533-position model. The record is from RNAcentral.